GCUGAUGCAGCCAUGCCGGUUAUAGAGACGCUUCGGUUUGAACGUACUCCAGCGGAGGAACGUGUGUGAUACUACCGCAGCAAUGGACGUCACCCGCAGAAGAGCAGCUGACUAACUCCGUGCAGCAGCCGCGUAUACGGAGGGUGCAAGCGUUAAUCGUAAUUACUGGUCGUAAAGCGCACGCAGGUCGUCUGUCAAGUCGGAUGUGAAAUCCCGCGGACUCAACGUGGGAACCUGCAUUCGAAACUGGCAGGCUAGAGUCUUGUAGAGGGGGGGUAGAAUUCCAGGUGUAGCGGUGAAAUGCGUAGAGAUCUGGAGGAAUACCGGUGGAGAAGGCGGCCCCCUGGACAAAGACUGACGCUCAGGUGAGAAAGCGUGGGGAGCAAACAGGAUUAGAUACCGUGGUAGUCCACGCCGUAAACGAUGUCGAUUUGGAGGUUGUGCCCUUGAGGCGUGGCUUCCGGAGCUAACGCGUUAAAUCGACCGCCUGGGGAGUACGGCCGCAAGGUUAAAACUCAAAUGAAUUGACGGGGGCCCGCACAAGCGGUGGAGCAUGUGGUUUAAUUCGAUGCAACGCGAAGAACCUUACCUGGUCUUGACAUCCACAGAACUUUCCAGAGAUGGAUUGGUGCCUUCGGGAACUGUGAGACAGGUGCUGCAUGGCUGUCGUCAGCUCGUGUUGUGAAAUGUUGGGUUAAGUCCCGCAACGAGCGCAACCCUUAUCCUUUGUUGCCAGCGGUUAGGCCGGGAACUCAAAGGAGACUGCCAGUGAUAAACUGGAGGAAGGUGGGGAUGACGUCAAGUCAUCAUGGCCCUUACGACCAGGGCUACACACGUGCUACAAUGGCGCAUACAAAGAGAAGCGACCUCGCGAGAGCAAGCGGACCUCAUAAAGUGCGUCGUAGUCCGGAUUGGAGUCUGCAACUCGACUCCAUGAAGUCGGAAUCGCUAGUAAUGGAGAUCAGAUGUCGGA
Molecule: ribosomal RNA, 973 nt
Filed under: Enterobacter cloacae
Lineage: Bacteria; Pseudomonadati; Pseudomonadota; Gammaproteobacteria; Enterobacterales; Enterobacteriaceae
Description: bacterial SSU rRNA
Rfam family: Bacterial small subunit ribosomal RNA
Source: RNAcentral